UUUCCGGUUGAUCCUGCCGGAGGCCACUGCUAUCGGGGUUCGAUUAAGCCAUGCGAGUCGAGAGGGUUUAGACCCUCGGCGGACUGCUCAGUAACACGUGGAUAACCUGCCCUAAGGUGGAGGAUAACCCCGGGAAACUGGGGAUAAUACUCCAUAGAUUAGAGAUACUGGAAUGUUCUUUAGUCAAAAGUUCUGGCGCCUUAGGAUGGAUCUGCGGUCGAUUAGGUUGUUGUUGGGGUAACGGCCCAACAAGCCUGUAAUCGAUACGGGUUGUGGGAGCAAUAGCCCGGAGAUGGAAUCUGAGACAAGAUUCCAGGCCCUACGGGGCGCAGCAGGCGCGAAAACUUUACAAUGCAGGAAACUGUGAUAAGGGAACCCCGAGUGCCCGUAUACGCGGGCUGUCCAGGUGUUUAAAAGUCAUCUGAAGAAAGGGCCGGGCAAGACCGGUGCCAGCCGCCGCGGUAAUACCGGCGGCUCGAGUGGUGGCCACUAUUAUUGGGCUUAAAGCGUCCGUAGCUGGACUGAUAAGUCUCUUGGGAAAUCCGCCGGCUCAACCGGCGGGCGUCUAAGGGAUACUGUUGGUCUAGGGACCGGGAGAGGUGAGAGGUACUCCGGGGGUAGGAGUGAAAUCCUGUAAUCCCCGGGGGACCACCGAUGGCGAAGGCAUCUCACCAGAACGGCUCCGACAGUGAGGGACGAAAGCUGGGGGAGCAAACCGGAUUAGAUACCCGGGUAGUCCCAGCCGUAAACUAUGCGCGUUAGGUGUGCUGGUGACCACGUGUCACCGGGGUGCCGAAGGGAAACCGUGAAACG
Molecule: ribosomal RNA, 813 nt
Filed under: uncultured Methanogenium sp.
Lineage: Archaea; Methanobacteriati; Methanobacteriota; Methanomicrobia; Methanomicrobiales; Methanomicrobiaceae
Description: bacterial SSU rRNA
Rfam family: Archaeal small subunit ribosomal RNA
Source: RNAcentral